UCAACUGGCAGAUGUGAGUGGAGAAUUUCUC
RNAcentral lists this non-coding RNA (31 nucleotides) under Homo sapiens (human). The record is from RNAcentral. Lineage: Eukaryota; Metazoa; Chordata; Mammalia; Primates; Hominidae.